This 497-nucleotide ribosomal RNA is filed under the name uncultured bacterium. Its description in RNAcentral is "partial 16S ribosomal RNA". It matches the Rfam family "Bacterial small subunit ribosomal RNA", at positions 28 to 507 of the family's 1533-position model. The record is from RNAcentral.
GACGAACGCUGGCGGCGUGCCUAAUACAUGCAAGUUGAGCGAUGAAGAUUGGUGCUUGCACCAAUUUGAAGAGCAGCGAACGGGUGAGUAACGCGUGGGGAAUCUGCCUUUGAGCGGGGGACAACAUUUGGAAACGAAUGCUAAUACCGCAUAACAACUUUAAACAUAAGUUUUAAGUUUGAAAGAUGCAAUUGCAUCACUCAAAGAUGAUCCCGCGUUGUAUUAGCUAGUUGGUGAGGUAAAGGCUCACCAAGGCGAUGAUACAUAGCCGACCUGAGAGGGUGAUCGGCAACAUUGGGACUGAGACACGGCCCAAACUCCUACGGGAGGCAGCAGUAGGGAAUCUUAGGCAAUGGACGAAAGUCUGACCGAGCAACGCCGCGUGAGUGAAGAAGGUUUUCGGAUCGUAAAACUCUGUUGGUAGAGAAGAACGUUGGUGAGAGUGGAAAGCUCAUCAAGUGACGGUAACUACCCAGAAAGGGACGGCUAACUACGUG